UGUGUAGGCGGCAUAGUAAGUCAGAUGUGAAAGCCCUCGGCUUAACCGAGGAAGUGCAUUUGAAACUGCUAAGCUAGAGUACGGGAGAGGGUUGUAGAAUUCCCGGUGUAGAGGUGAAAUUCGUAGAUAUCGGGAGGAAUAUCGGUGGCGAAGGCGGCAGCCUGGACCGAUACUGACGCUGAGACGCGAAUGCGUGGGGAGCAAACAGGAUUAGAUACCCUGGUAGUCC
Molecule: ribosomal RNA, 229 nt
Filed under: uncultured bacterium
Lineage: Bacteria
Description: partial 16S ribosomal RNA
Rfam family: Bacterial small subunit ribosomal RNA
Source: RNAcentral